This is a long non-coding RNA of Hemicordylus capensis (graceful crag lizard), 924 nucleotides long. RefSeq lists it as uncharacterized. Lineage: Eukaryota; Metazoa; Chordata; Lepidosauria; Squamata; Cordylidae. The transcript has 2 exons. The record is from RefSeq and is a predicted model, not a curated record.
CCCAACCUUAGAUCCCAAAUGCUGUUAGACUAUAACUCCCAUCAUCCCUGGCCAUAAUGGCACCCACACCAUUCCCAGGGCUCCAUGGGAAAAUGAAAGAACAAGUCCCUCUAACAGUCAUGCAGUGGAAGGUUCCCUUACAGCGGGGAGUGAAGAGGAAGGAUGGAGACUUUUCUCCUGGCCCUUGCUGGUCCUGGUAAACAUCAGAGGACAACAUCCCACAAGAACCAUGUGCAUAUUGGCAUUACUGCCACUGCUGCCACUGCCACUUUUAGGAAUGUUGCUGACUUGGAAGAAUCAGCAGGAAUCUCGUGACUUGGUUGUUUAUGGCACCAACCAUCUCUCAUCCCCUGCCAAGUAUAAAGGGCUUCACUUCAACUGGCUGGAUCUCAUAUCCAAGUUCCUCUCCUCAACCCACACAGAGGAGCUGAGCCUUCAUGGGCUUUUGAAAACACGGAAGCGUCUUGAGGAGGAAGGACUGCUUUCAGAAGCAAUGGGAAAAUGUUUGGUGCAUGUCAUGAAGGUCCUGCCACAUGAACCUAACAGCUUGCAGAAGAAUGCCAGAUUGACCCUUCAUUGUGACGGGCACUUGUUGGAGUUUAUGUCUGGAAAAGGGGGAAAUGAAGUGGCCAUGUACGAUUAUGAUGGAAAGCUCCACUACCAAACCGGUAUAACGACUUGGCAAGUCUACCUUAUAAGGUUCUUCAGAAGAAAUCCAUAGUUGUUUGCUCCAGUCAUGAUGGUACACUUGUGUGUGCAUAAGCCUUGCUGGAACAAUGUGUGGAUUUGUCCAUCUCCAACAGCUUCUGCCAAGCUUGAGAUCUGGAGUCUAUGUCAGCUGUGUGUGUAUGUCUGAUUUCCUUUUCUUUGUGGGAUUCUGUGCAUAUCUACUGGACUGGAUAAAAGUAUAUCUCCCUCCUCUGA